UUUGAUCCUGGCUCAGGAUGAACGCUAGCUACAGGCUUAACACAUGCAAGUCGAGGGGAAACGACAUCGAAAGCUUGCUUUUGAUGGGCGUCGACCGGCGCACGGGUGAGUAACGCGUAUCCAACCUGCCCACCACUUGGGGAUAACCUUGCGAAAGUAAGACUAAUACCCAAUGACGUCUCUAGAAGACAUCUGAAAGAGAUUAAAGAUUUAUCGGUGAUGGAUGGGGAUGCGUCUGAUUAGCUUGUUGGCGGGGUAACGGCCCACCAAGGCGACGAUCAGUAGGGGUUCUGAGAGGAAGGUCCCCCACAUUGGAACUGAGACACGGUCCAAACUCCUACGGGAGGCAGCAGUGAGGAAUAUUGGUCAAUGGACGAGAGUCUGAACCAGCCAAGUAGCGUGCAGGAUGACGGCCCUAUGGGUUGUAAACUGCUUUUAUAAGGGAAUAAAGUGAGUCUCGUGAGACUUUUUGCAUGUACCUUAUGAAUAAGGACCGGCUAAUUCCGUGCCAGCAGCCGCGGUAAUACGGAAGGUCCGGGCGUUAUCCGGAUUUAUUGGGUUUAAAGGGAGCGUAGGCCGGAGAUUAAGCGUGUUGUGAAAUGUAGACGCUCAACGUCUGCACUGCAGCGCGAACUGGUUUCCUUGAGUACGCACAAAGUGGGCGGAAUUCGUGGUGUAGCGGUGAAAUGCUUAGAUAUCACGAAGAACUCCGAUUGCGAAGGCAGCUCACUGGAGCGCAACUGACGCUGAAGCUCGAAAGUGCGGGUAUCGAACAGGAUUAGAUACCCUGGUAGUCCGCACGGUAAACGAUGGAUGCCCGCUGUUGGUCUGAAUAGGUCAGCGGCCAAGCGAAAGCAUUAAGCAUCCCACCUGGGGAGUACGCCGGCAAC
RNAcentral lists this ribosomal RNA (890 nucleotides) under uncultured bacterium. RNAcentral's name for it is "bacterial SSU rRNA". It matches the Rfam family "Bacterial small subunit ribosomal RNA", at positions 12 to 892 of the family's 1533-position model. The record is from RNAcentral.